CUUCCAUGCUGAAAACACUGGUUCUUGUUUGAUCACCAAAGUUAAGCAGUGUCAAGCCUUGUCAGUACUUAGAUGGGGAACCACUUGGGAACAUUGUAUACUGUA
This is a non-coding RNA of Acanthosepion pharaonis, 105 nucleotides long. The record is from the annotation of a GenBank genome assembly. Lineage: Eukaryota; Metazoa; Mollusca; Cephalopoda; Sepiida; Sepiidae.